RNAcentral lists this non-coding RNA (156 nucleotides) under Polaribacter vadi. Its description in RNAcentral is "SAM riboswitch aptamer (S box leader)". It matches the Rfam family "SAM riboswitch aptamer (S box leader)". Rfam says of the family: The SAM riboswitch is found upstream of a number of genes which code for proteins involved in methionine or cysteine biosynthesis in Gram-positive bacteria. The SAM riboswitch acts at the level of transcription termination control. Lineage: Bacteria; Pseudomonadati; Bacteroidota; Flavobacteriia; Flavobacteriales; Flavobacteriaceae. RNAcentral also lists the same sequence under 1 other name. The record is from Rfam by way of RNAcentral.
AUGUUAUCAAGAAAGGUGGAGGGAUUAGACCCUUUGAAACCUUAGCAACCCUUUGCAAUGCUGAACUCAAUUCAGAAUUUUAAAGAAGGUGCUAAAUUCUACCCAAAGUACUGAAUUUAUUUCAGUAUCUCACAAAAGAGAUUGGAUAGAUAACAA